This 462-nucleotide ribosomal RNA is filed under the name Plesionika semilaevis. RNAcentral's name for it is "partial 16S ribosomal RNA". It matches the Rfam family "Archaeal large subunit ribosomal RNA", at positions 1999 to 2664 of the family's 2987-position model. Lineage: Eukaryota; Metazoa; Arthropoda; Malacostraca; Decapoda; Pandalidae. The record is from RNAcentral.
UUUGAAGGGCCGCGGUAAUUUGACCGUGCGAAGGUAGCAUAAUCAGUAGUCUUUUAAUUGGAGGCUGGAAUGAAUGGUUGGACAAGGGGCUAGCUGUCUCUUUUGUUUCUUUUGAACUUUACUUUUAAGUGAAAAGGCUUAAAUAUUCUUGGGGGACGAUAAGACCCUAUAAAACUUUACAGUUUAAUUUAUAUUUUUUGAAGUGAAGUAUGAUAUUAAUUAUAAAUAUUCUGUUAUGUUGGGGCGACAAAGAUAUAAUAAGUAACUGUUAAAUAUAUAAGAUAAUUAUAAUUAGAUAAUUGAUCCUUUAUUAAAGAUUAAAAGAUUAAGUUACUUUAGGGAUAACAGCGUAAUUUUCUCUGAGAGUUCUUAUCGACGAGAGUAGUUGCGACCUCGAUGUUGAAUUAAGAUUUCUUUUAAAUGUAGCAGUUUAAUGAGUGGGUCUGUUCGACCUUUAAAAUC